RNAcentral lists this unclassified non-coding RNA (1118 nucleotides) under Zea mays. Its description in RNAcentral is "misc RNA Zm00001eb410690". Lineage: Eukaryota; Viridiplantae; Streptophyta; Magnoliopsida; Poales; Poaceae. The record is from RNAcentral.
AAAAAAAAUCUCCACCGCUUUCUUAUCUCUGAUUUUUCCCCAGCAGUCCGGCUCCAGCUCGUCGAGCUCCUCCUUGCUUCUCUCCACGGCGCUCAGCUGUUCCUACUCCCUCCCCUGCACGCUCCAUCUCUUCACGCGCGCUUCUCUGCUCGCUGCGCGCGCCUGCUCCCAAGUCGCGCCCCCUCAGCUCGCUCCCUGUUCGCCGCGCCCAGCUUGGCCGCUCCUCCCGUUUCCUGCUCACGCCGCCGUCGAGCUCUCUGGCCGUCGCGCCCAUAUCCCCUGCUCCUCCGGCGCCGCGGCUUCCCAGCUUCUGCCAGCCGGCCGAGCUCUCUCGUCAAGACUCCAGUCCGAACUCCCUCCUCUUUCCCCCAUGGUCACUCGGGUCCUGCUCGCCAUCUGUCCACGAGUCACGCGUCGAGCAAUGGAGGAAAAUCUACAGCCUAAGCCUUGAUCAAUAUGUGUGGAUUUGGAAAAGAAGACUGAAGUCGGCUUGUGUCGCACGUCUGGUCGACGAAAAGCUCGAACAUGAGACCGUCAUCGAUCCAGCCGUCGCCUAUCUCGCCAACAUUUAUCGGCCGUGGUUCAGCUCGCCAUGAGUCUGGUCUAGCCAUCGUCCCUGCUUUGCCUUCCCCAAGCAGCCGUGUGGAUGGUCUCGCUUCUCAUCCAUCGGAUUUUGUGUGUGCUCGUGUUUGUCGUCGAGUCGUCAAACACGUCAUCUCCGGCUCGAUCCCCACCUCACCAGCUUACCCCAGACUUCCAUUGAAGGUCGUCGUCGUUCGUGCAUCCCCAAGAAAACCCAAGAAUCGGGUAAAGACGAAGUUAGCAGCGCGAUUUUCCACAAGCGCUCAACCAAUUGCCUGGAUCGGAAAAUCGCUACCGAUCUCGCGGAUUCGAGUUAGCUGUUGAAACGGUAAGCUGAUGAAUUAUUCAGAAUAGUUCGAUCGUUGAAUAAAUUAAGGUGCUAGUGUGAUGCUCAUUAGGUGCUCGAUAAAUUGCGUAAGUCACGAAACUCUCGUCGACUUCGUAGUUCUUGCGAUUAUCGAGCCAGGUUCAGUUAUAACUAGUUAUUUCGCUAUUCCAGUCAAUUAGCUGAAUUAGUGUACCGAGUAGAAUUUUAG